AUUGAACGCUGGCGGCAUGCCUUACACAUGCAAGUCGAACGGCAGCACGGGGGCAACCCUGGUGGCGAGUGGCGAACGGGUGAGUAAUACAUCGGAACGUGCCCGGUAGUGGGGGAUAGCUCGGCGAAAGCCGGAUUAAUACCGCAUACGACCUACGGGUGAAAGCGGGGGAUCGCAAGACCUCGCGCCAUCGGAGCGGCCGAUGUCAGAUUAGGUUGUUGGUGGGGUAAAGGCCUACCAAGCCGACGAUCUGUAGCUGGUCUGAGAGGACGACCAGCCACACUGGGACUGAGACACGGCCCAGACUCCUACGGGAGGCAGCAGUGGGGAAUUUUGGACAAUGGGCGCAAGCCUGAUCCAGCAAUGCCGCGUGCAGGAAGAAGGCC
RNAcentral lists this ribosomal RNA (386 nucleotides) under uncultured bacterium. RNAcentral's name for it is "bacterial SSU rRNA". It matches the Rfam family "Bacterial small subunit ribosomal RNA", at positions 29 to 416 of the family's 1533-position model. The record is from RNAcentral.